UGAGGAAUAUUGGACAAUGGAGGAAACUCUGAUCCAGCCAUGCCGCGUGAGUGAAGAAGGCCUUAGGGUUGUAAAGCUCUUUCAAUUGCGAAGAUAAUGACGGUAACAAUAGAAGAAGCUCCGGCUAAAUUCGUGCCAGCAGCCGCGGUAAUACGAAUGGAGCGAGCGUUGUUCGGAAUCACUGGGCUUAAAGCGUAUGUAGGCGGAACAGAAAGUCAGGAGUGAAAUCCCGGGGCUCAACCUCGGAACUGCUCUUGAAACUUCUGUUCUAGAAUCCUGGAGAGGUUAGGAGAAUUCCGAGUGUAGAGGUGAAAUUCGCAGAUAUUCGGAGGAAUACCAGUGGCGUAGGCGCCUAACUGGACAGGUAUUGACGCUCAGAUACGAAAGCGUGGGGAGCAAACAGGAUUAGAUACCCCUGUAGUCC
Molecule: ribosomal RNA, 424 nt
Filed under: uncultured prokaryote
Description: bacterial SSU rRNA
Rfam family: Bacterial small subunit ribosomal RNA
Source: RNAcentral